ACAAGUUUUCAUACUCGCUUCAAAGGCUGUCCUAUUCUCGGAAACAUUAUUGACUAGGUCAUUCAUAGAAAGCACAGAACGUAAGCAACUCAUCCCAUAUAUUGUUAGAAUCAUAUCCGCAUACCUAUUUGAAAAUGCAUAAAUCGCUUCUGGCUCUCUCAAGUCUGGAAGCAAGUUAAAAAUAUCUUGAAGGACAGAAAUAAUGCUGUGAUUUGGAGGUAUCCUACCUUCAACUAUAUCAUUCAAAUAGUUUUUGGAUUCUUUUAAUUUAGAGACAAGUAUUUUACAAGAGUUAAUUGUAUCUGAAAUUUGCGUAAUAAGAGUAGAGGUUGACGUAUUUUUAAGGUCUCUCAAUAGGUGUUCCACACCAACUUCCUCUGCUUCGAAUGCGCCAAUCGUACAUGGAACAUGCGCAAACUUUUUCUUUAAGACACUAUUGGGUUCGUCCAUUGAAAAAUAAGCGCUAAUUGGACUUGACAAAUAUUCAAAAUCAUCCGCAGUUACAUCAGCAAUUAAAUAUAAUGGGUCAGGGCAAUAUUUUCUAAAUAACUCAUGUAUAUCGAUAUCAACAACCUUGGUUUUGGGGCCAGUGCUGUACCAACCAAUGAUUUUCUCUUUUGUAUUGAUCUUUUUAAACAUUAAAUACAUUUGUUCAUGAUAAUUGUGAUCUAGAUACCAAACCAUUGGGUCCCUUGAAUCCUCCUCAAAAGGUAAAGCGUAACUAUUUGUAACGUGAAUUCCAUCUUCAUCAUGAAGUUCUCCUAGCAAUGUGCCAACUACCCUUUUUGAAGUACCCUUUGCAAUCCUAUUAUAAUGAUCUACAAUUGAUAAAAGCACAAUUGGGUGAAUAAUAAUGUUUUUUCGAUUACUUAAACUGGAAUUUACUUUGUACAAUGCAGCACCUGAAUGUUCUCCGCUUAGACACAUUAUUAAACACCCCGAGAAUUGAAACAGAAAUAUUUUCAAAAAAUUGUGUAAAAAAUAUAAAACUCUUAGUUCCGGAAGUUUUGGAAGAUCCCCUCAGUCCCCCCACCCAGUAAAUUAGUUUCCUCAUAUUGUGAUAUUCGUAAAAUAUUCCCGCAAAUGACUUUUUAUUAGAAACGUUGAGCAUAGGAUUAUUCAUAUUCUAUCACAGAAAUUGGUGCUGGUGUAAUUAACUCUUAUGUAGCUUUUCUAGGAUCUUGUAGUAAAUGAUAGAGGAAGGGUGAUAGGCAAAAGACAGCUUGAAUACGUCUUGCUCUCUGAAACCAAAUAACUUGUUUUGAGUCAAAACUACUUUUUUUGAAAAAUGACUAAUCAUUUUUUGGUGACUUAUUAGAGUACAGAUGUUUUUAUAUGGCUUAUCACUUAAUUUGCAUAAUUUAUUAGAGUUGCUAUCAAUACCGGAUAUACUAAUUUGAAUAUCCUUCAGAAAAUUGUUUGAGUUGUGUGCUAGCCCAGAAACAUCGAUAUUAUACCUCUUGUUAAAUUCGAAUAGAGAUAAACCAUGCUUUAAGAUUUUCAGACGGUGUUUGUGUGCUGUAAGGAUAAUAUCACAAUGACGUAUAAAAUUAGUUGAUUUCCAUAUCAGCAUGCCUUUGUAAUUAUCUGGAAUGAAAAGAGUGAUAUAUUUCAUAAUAUCAUGGCUUUUCUCACAAUCCAUUACUUUUGGCAACAAGAUUUUUCUAGACAACUUGAUCGAAUUUACUAGAGAAUCUGAUUUGCUAAUUCGUUCGCCUCUGUUAGUUUUGAUUAACGAAUUUUGUCCGGAAAAACUAAUUGGAGAGAUUCUGAGUUCAGAGAACCUAAUAAACUUAAGUGAUGACUCAUUCGUAUUGUCAUUACCAUUAUCUAAAAUAUUUUCAAAAUAAUUGACUUUACUAAAAGGGUUUGAAUUUGCUCCAGGUGGGAAUUUUAAGUUGUUUUGAAUUAGAUUACUAUAUUCUAGAUCAUCAAGAUUUCCCCAAAGAUGUAAUCUCAAUUUCCAUUCUUUUAAUCUACCUGAAAAGCAUGAUUUACUUGUAUUUGAGUAUGGAUCUGGGGUAGAAGGAUGCCAAGUAAAACUUAACUCUCUCUUCCUUUCAUUUUUUCUCACCGCAGUUGUGUACCUUUGAUAUCCAACGCUAUUCUUUGCUAUGUUGAUCUGCUUCAGCCUUUGGCUGAUCCUUCUUUCUUCUAUUUUUGAUAACAAUUUGAAAAUUCCUAAACUUCGUGUAAUUAUUAUAAAAAGAGCCGCUUAUCUUUAAUGUUAAAACUUAUAUCUGCCUUCAGGCUUAAAUUGAACUAUUCCGC
RNAcentral lists this non-coding RNA (2271 nucleotides) under Cryptosporidium parvum. Lineage: Eukaryota; Apicomplexa; Conoidasida; Eucoccidiorida; Cryptosporidiidae. The record is from RNAcentral.